AUUGAACGCUGGCGGCAGGCCUAACACAUGCAAGUCGAGCGGAUGAAGAGAGCUUGCUCUCUGAUUCAGCGGCGGACGGGUGAGUAAUGCCUAGGAAUCUGCCUGGUAGUGGGGGACAACGUUUCGAAAGGAACGCUAAUACCGCAUACGUCCUACGGGAGAAAGCAGGGGACCUUCGGGCCUUGCGCUAUCAGAUGAGCCUAGGUCGGAUUAGCUAGUUGGUGAGGUAAUGGCUCACCAAGGCGACGAUCCGUAACUGGUCUGAGAGGAUGAUCAGUCACACUGGAACUGAGACACGGUCCAGACUCCUACGGGAGGCAGCAGUGGGGAAUAUUGGACAAUGGGCGAAAGCCUGAUCCAGCCAUGCCGCGUGUGUGAAGAAGGUCUUCGGAUUGUAAAGCACUUUAAGUUGGGAGGAAGGGUAGUAACCUAAUACGUUGCGUACUUUGACGUUACCGACAGAAUAAGACACCGGCUAACUUCGUGCCAG
Molecule: ribosomal RNA, 490 nt
Filed under: uncultured bacterium
Lineage: Bacteria
Description: bacterial SSU rRNA
Rfam family: Bacterial small subunit ribosomal RNA
Source: RNAcentral